This 658-nucleotide small RNA is filed under the name Histoplasma capsulatum var. duboisii H88. RNAcentral describes it as "Histoplasma capsulatum H88 hypothetical RNA". Lineage: Eukaryota; Fungi; Ascomycota; Eurotiomycetes; Onygenales; Ajellomycetaceae. The record is from RNAcentral.
GCUGCUAAAAUUAAUAGCCCAAUCGCCCCCUCCUCGCUUCCCGGGGUUUGUGUGCCCUCACUGAGUUCCUUUCUACCAUUUCCUCCUAUCAUCUUGCGCGGGCGUUGCAGUUCUAGGUUAACCUGCUGUGUAUGGUCCGUCCGCCUGCGCGGGGCUGCACUCCACACUCUGCAUGGGCUUUUACUCUAUCCAUCCCUGGCUCUUUCAAACCUAUUGCGUUGCCGUAUAUGCACAGAGUUGCGGGCAAAAAUUAAAAAAAAUACUAGAGCAUGCAACUUGAACCUGCAUAUCUUUGCUCUAGCCACAUACAUUCACAUCCGUCUAAAAAAGCACUAGCCGAAGGGGAAAACCAUAAAAAGAAAAGAUAACUUACUCGGGGCCCAACCUAGGAUAUCCUAUGGUGAGCGGGUGGUAAGCACCGCUGUGCAAAAUAUCAUAGUUCUCGCGUUUUUUCAUCCCUAACCAUGCGAUUAAAAUCUAGAUAGUAGUUAUUUAAUUAUUUCAAUCGUGUCAUAUUAAUUAUAUGUGGAAUUAGAAUCUAGAUCAUAUUAAUUGUCUUCUAGAUUAUCAGAGUUGAUGGAUUGUGAAACUUCUCAAGUUAUCUAAUAUCUCAUCUAAAGCUAUCUUCUUGCCAGCAGAGGCGAUGAUAGAGGACAUU